CCUACGGGAGGCAGCAGUGGGGAAUAUUGGACAAUGGGCGCAAGCCUGAUCCAGCAAUGCCGCGUGAGUGAUGAAGGCCUUAGGGUCGUAAAGCUCUUUUACCAGGGAUGAUAAUGACAGUACCUGGAGAAUAAGCUCCGGCUAACUCCGUGCCAGCAGCCGCGGUAAUACGGAGGGAGCUAGCGUUGUUCGGAAUUACUGGGCGUAAAGCGUACGUAGGCGGUUAUUCAAGUCAGAGGUGAAAGCCCGGGGCUCAACCCCGGAACGGCCUUUGAAACUAGGUAGCUAGAAUCUUGGAGAGGUCAGUGGAAUUCCGAGUGUAGAGGUGAAAUUCGUAGAUAUUCGGAAGAACACCAGUGGCGAAGGCGACUGACUGGACAAGUAUUGACGCUGAGGUACGAAAGCGUGGGGAGCAAACAGGAUUAGAUACCCUGGUAGUCCACGCCGUAAACGAUGAUAACUAGCUGUUCGGGCACUUGGUGCUUGAGUGGCGCAGCUACGACAUUAAGUUAUCCGUCCGUCGGGUAGGUACGGUCGCGAAGAAGUUAAAACGUUAAAACGGUAAAGUUAGUACGGACGUGAGACGUAGCCGAACGACGACGACGAGGGAGGUAGG
This 616-nucleotide ribosomal RNA is filed under the name uncultured bacterium. RNAcentral's name for it is "bacterial SSU rRNA". The stretch from base 1 to 518 matches the Rfam family "Bacterial small subunit ribosomal RNA", at positions 338 to 873 of the family's 1533-position model. The record is from RNAcentral.